AACUUUUGGCAAUGGAUCUCUUGGUUCUCGCAUCGAUGAAGAACGCAGCGAAAUGCGAUAAGUAAUGUGAAUUGCAGAUUUCAGUGAAUCAUCGAAUCUUUGAACGCACCUUGCGCUCCUUGGUAUUCCGAGGAGCAUGCCUGUUUGAGUGUCAUUAAAUUCUCAACCCACUUGGAUUUUAUUAUUCGAUAGUGUGGAUUGGAUUUGGAGGUUUUUGCUGGCAGAGUCAGCUCCUCUUGAAAUGUAUUAGCGAAGUUGCGCCCUUGUUCGUGUGGUCGGUGUGAUAAUUUAUCAACACCUAACCCUAGAAUAGGGUUUCGCUUCUAAUCGUCUUUGGACAAUUUUAUGACCUUUUGACCUCAAAUCAGGUAGGACUACCCGCUGAACUUAAGCAUAUCAAUAAGCGGAGGCU
Molecule: unclassified non-coding RNA, 412 nt
Filed under: uncultured Fomitopsidaceae
Lineage: Eukaryota; Fungi; Basidiomycota; Agaricomycetes; Polyporales; Fomitopsidaceae
Description: sequence contains ITS2
Rfam family: 5.8S ribosomal RNA (bases 1-154)
Source: RNAcentral